RNAcentral lists this ribosomal RNA (207 nucleotides) under uncultured bacterium. RNAcentral's name for it is "partial 16S ribosomal RNA". It matches the Rfam family "Bacterial small subunit ribosomal RNA", at positions 339 to 563 of the family's 1533-position model. The record is from RNAcentral.
CUACGGGAGGCAGCAGUGGGGAAUAUUGGACAAUGGGCGCAAGCCUGAUCCAGCCAUGCCGCGUGAGUGACGAAGGCCUUAGGGUUGUAAAGCUCUUUUGGCGGGGAAGAUAAUGAUGGUACCCGCAGAAUAAGCUCCGGCUAACUUCGUGCCAGCAGCCGCGGUAAUACGAAGGGAGCUAGCGUUGUUCGGAAUCACUGGGCGUAA